Molecule: unclassified non-coding RNA, 75 nt
Filed under: Candidatus Kentrum sp. MB
Lineage: Bacteria; Pseudomonadati; Pseudomonadota; Gammaproteobacteria
Source: RNAcentral
GCGAACCGGAUGCGGGAAAACCGCACGUCCGGGUCUGUGCGGGGGGUGCCCGGUAACGGGCGUUCCUACCGCGAA